RNAcentral lists this long non-coding RNA (1534 nucleotides) under Triticum aestivum (bread wheat). RNAcentral's name for it is "long non-coding RNA (TAES_LNC027909)". Lineage: Eukaryota; Viridiplantae; Streptophyta; Magnoliopsida; Poales; Poaceae. The record is from RNAcentral.
UUGAAGUUCAAGUUGGCACCGGGGUCAUCCAGUCCUGCUGAACAUCAUUGUUCCUUCAAGGCGAACAACCAUGGGACAUCUGCACAAAAAAUGAAGACUGAUUUUGCGUUAUUCUCAGUGAAGGUGACUUGGUCGACUUUGCCUCGGGGCUGUUAUGCUCAUUCCAGUUCAUCUGGACCUUAGAUCGACCUUGUCACAGAGUUGUGUCUGAUGAGCGGGCUAAGACUUACAAGUUUGGUUUGACGUAGUCUUAAGAUGGACUUGUGGCAACUAUCAAGCAAUCAAACACUUGACUAAUAUGACUGUCUAAAUUUAUAGUAUGUGGCAAACAAGGAUGGUAAAUCUAUAAUAGUAAUAAUAAGCAAAUAUUUGAACUGUUCACUUGCAUAUUUGGUUCAGCCAUCGUGCAUGCUUGUAUAAUUUGUUUUCUUUUGUUGUCGACAAAAACAGUUGGGAAGACCCCGUAGAGCAAAAAAUUCAAUUGCUUUGCUAGUGCUUAGUUUAGAUGUCUAGUCGGUAGUGGUGGGGUGAUGGAAUAAAAGUUCUCUCCAAUAUGUCAUUGUUCUGUCCUCAGUUUCGGUGAAGCUGAUUGUCAGUGGAUGCUGUAUGGAGCUUAGGUCAGUUCAGGUCUUGGCCACAUUUUUGUCUAUGUUUUGUCUAUAUGGACUUGGGCUGCGUUCGUCUGGCGACCUUUGUUGGGAAGGGAAGCCUUUGAGGUACUCCCUCCUUUCCCGUUUAUAGGGUUUAUCUCAAAAUUUUAGUUUUUUCAUUUUAUAAAGCUCAAUUUGGUUAUUUCCCAUCACAUGUUCAGAUUCCAAGGUGCAUUAAAUCAUUGCAUGCAAGUAUUGAGAGAAAAUUGAUCAAUGUAUGUACUUUAUGCAUGCAUGCAUUGCAAUUAAUGCAUUGAUAACAUAAUUUUUUGAGAAAAACAAGAACAUUAAUUAGGUACUUUUGCAAACUACAAAACGUAUUUCACCACUCACCAUCUACCUUGGUCGGUGAGAUUUUUGAAUUGAGCCUUAUAAACGAAAAGGAGGGAGUACCUACGUAACUCAUACCUCCAUCCCCAUGAGAGCUAGGGCGGCGCCAGAUGACCUCGUCGGUGGCGGCCGGACAGCGUGGCCAUGUUGUUAGAAUUGCAAAGUUGGGAUUACCGCUCGGGAUUGGAAAUUAAUGGACAAAUUAAGUGGGAGUUGGUGCUUUGAGAUUGUGACUGGGCUGGGCAUUCGGUUCCCCCGAAACGAACGGUUCGGUGCUUCGGUCCUUUUACAAUUUUGGUUCUUAGAAAAUGCUAACCGCUCGGGUAAUAGGAAAUCAACUGACCGACAAUUCGGUACCCCGAAAGUUCGGUUCGGCUAUCGGUUUUAACCCAAGGAAACCGAACAUGUUUAAUAGCAGGGCUUCCAGGUGAUGGAAGAAAGAAAAUUGACAGAAAAAAUGAGCGGUGGAAGAAAGGAAGAACGCAAAAACAAAUCUUCCUACCAGUAGCAUGCCUGUCGGUGAUAAGAGAGAUAAAGGGAAUGAACAACUCAAC